RNAcentral lists this ribosomal RNA (811 nucleotides) under Dendrostoma elaeocarpi. RNAcentral describes it as "Dendrostoma sp. QY-2019a partial large subunit ribosomal RNA". It matches the Rfam family "Eukaryotic large subunit ribosomal RNA", at positions 89 to 929 of the family's 3401-position model. Lineage: Eukaryota; Fungi; Ascomycota; Sordariomycetes; Diaporthales; Erythrogloeaceae. The record is from RNAcentral.
GCGAGUGAAGCGGCAACAGCUCAAAUUUGAAAUCUGGCCUCGGCCCGAGUUGUAAUUUGCAGAGGAUGUUUCUGGCGCGGUGCCUUCCGAGUUCCCUGGAACGGGACGCCACAGAGGGUGAGAGCCCCGUAUGGUUGGACACCAAGCCUGUGUGAAACUCCUUCGACGAGUCGAGUAGUUUGGGAAUGCUGCUCAAAAUGGGAGGUAAAUCUCUUCUAAAGCUAAAUACCGGCCAGAGACCGAUAGCGCACAAGUAGAGUGAUCGAAAGAUGAAAAGCACCUUGAAAAGGGGGUUAAACAGUACGUGAAAUUGUUGAAAGGGAAGCACUUGUGACCAGACUUGUGCCGGGCGGCUCAUCCGGGGUUCUCCCCCGGUGCACUCCGCCCGGUAUAGGCCAGCAUCGGUUCUUUCUGGGGGAUAAGAACGGUGGGAACGUGGCCCUCCCUCGGGAGGGUGUUAUAGCCCGCCGUACGAUACCCUGGAGGGGACCGAGGUUCGCGCUCCGCAAGGAUGCUGGCGUAAUGGUCACCAGUGACCCGUCUUGAAACACGGACCAAGGAGUCGUCCAUUAGAGCGAGCGUUUGGGUGUAAAACCCGCACGCGUAAUGAAAGUGAAAUUAGGUGAGAGCUUCGGCGCAUCAUCGACCGAUCCUGAUGUUCUCGGACGGAUUUGAGUAAGAGUUUUAACGGACGGACCCGAAAGACAGUGAACUAUGCUUGUAUAGGGUGAAGCCAGAGGAAACUCUGGUGGAGGCUCGCAGCGGUUCUGACGUGCAAAUCGAUCGUCAAAUAUGAGCAUGGGGGCGAAAG